This 2949-nucleotide ribosomal RNA is filed under the name Pontiella sulfatireligans. RNAcentral describes it as "23S ribosomal RNA". It matches the Rfam family "Bacterial large subunit ribosomal RNA". The record is from RNAcentral. Lineage: Bacteria; Pseudomonadati; Kiritimatiellota; Kiritimatiellia; Kiritimatiellales; Pontiellaceae.
UCAAGCUACUAAGGGCGUACGGUGAAUGCCUUGGCUUCAGUAGGCGAUGAAGGACGUGAUAAGCUGCGAUAAGCUUCGGUGAGGGGCAAAUACCCGUUAUCAACCGGAGAUUUCCGAAUGGGAAAACCCAGCAGAGGUAAUGCUCUGUUAUCAGUGUGUGAAUUAAAUAGCGCAUUGAGGCGAUACCCGGUGAAUUGAAACAUCUUAGUAACCGGAGGAAAAGAAAACAAUAGUGAUUCCGUAAGUAGUGGCGAGCGAACGCGGAACAGCCCAAAACACCUUGUUUACAGGGUGUGGUGUGGACCACGACGUGGUACUCGAAUAGAUAGCAGAACCGUUUGGAAAGACGGGCCAUAGCGGGUGAUAGCCCCUUAAGCGAAAUCUUGACGAGACCUAGUGGUAUCCCGAGUAGGUCGGAACACGUGAAACUCUGACUGAAUACAGGAGGCCCACCUCCUAAGGCUAAAUACUAACUGAAGACCGAUAGUGAACUAGUACCGUGAGGGAAAGGUGAAAAGAACCCCUUUUAGGGGAGUGAAAUAGAACCUGAAACCGUACGCUUACAAACUGUGGUAGCCCUUCGGGGUGGCCGCAUGCCUUUUGCAUAAUGAGUCUGCGACUUACCGUAUGUGGCAAGGUUAAGCAUCUUUCGAUGUGGAGCCGAAGCGAAAGCGAGUGUUAAUAGCGCGAUUUAGUCGCCUGCGGUAGACCCGAAACCUGGUGAGCUACCCAUGGACAGGAUGAAGCUUCUUUAAACGGAAGUGGAAGACCGAACCAGUACGUGUUGAAAAACGUUUGGAUGAUCUGUGGGUCGGAGUGAAAGGCUAACCAAACCAGGUGAUAGCUGGUUCUCCCCGAAAUACCUUGAGGGAUAGCCUCGACGAAUGCAAUUCACGGAGGUAGAGCACUGAGUACUUGAUGGUCCCUCCCGGGAUACUGAGAGUUUUCAAACUCCGAAUACCGUGAACGUCACGUCGGGAGUCAGACUGCGGGGGAUAAGCUCCGUAGUCGAGAGGGAAACAGCCCAGACCGCCAGCUAAGGCCCCUAAAUGAUAGUUAAGUGGAGAAGGAUGUUAGAUUGCGAAGACAGCUAGGAUGUUGGCUUAGAAGCAGCCACCAUUUAAACAAAGCGUAAUAGCUGACUAGUCGAGUGGUUUAGCGCCGAAAAUGAUCGGGGCUCAAACUAUCUGCCGAAGCUGCGGGUUUUAACUACUGUUAAAGCAGUAGGGGAGCGUUGUGUACCGGGUUGAAGGGAACGGGGAACCGAACCUGGACUGUACACAAGUGAUUAUGCAGACAUGAGUAACGAUAAGGGGAGUGAGAAUCUCCCCCGCCGAAAUCCUAAGGGUUCCUGGGGAAGGUUCGUCCGCCCAGGGUUAGUCGGCCCCUAAGGCGAGGCCGAAAGGCGUAGUCGAUGGGAAACGGGUUUAAUAUUCCCGUACCGCUGUACACGAGUGAUGGAGGGACGCAGUAGGCUAAUUCAGCCGGCGAUUGGAAAUGCCGGUCUAAGCGUGUAGGGUAUUCCGUAGGUAAAUCCGCGGAUGUUUGCCUGAGACGCGAUGGGACAUGGAGCCUCCGGGUGAUGUGGAUUGGAUGAUGCCAGGCUGCCGAGAAAAGCUUCUAAACGUUGAAUGUAAAGCGACCGUACCAAAACCGACACAGGUAGGAGGGUAGAGUAUACCAAGGCGCGCGAGAGAAAGGUUGUUAAGGAACUCGGCAAAUUAACCCCGUAUCUUCGGAAGAAGGGGUCCUCGAGUUGGCUAACAAUUUACUUGUGAUGUUAAUUCGAGGCGCAGUGAAGAGGCGAAGGCGACUGUUUAUCAAAAACAUAGCACUAUGCUAACUCGCAAGAGGAUGUAUAUGGUGUGACACGUGACCAAUGCCAAAAGGUUAAGGCAAGGGGUUAGGACUUGUUCCGAAGCUCUGAACCGAAGCCCUGGUGAAUGUCGGCCGUAACUAUAACGGUCCUAAGGUAGCGAAAUUCCUUGUCGGGUAAGUUCCGACCUGCACGAAUCGUGUAACGAUCUUCGCACUGUCUCAACAACCAUCUCGGUGAAGUUGUAGUUCCGGUGAAAAUGCCGGAUACCCGCGGCAGGACGGAAAGACCCCGUGAACCUUUACUGUGACCUGACAUUGGACUUUGAUAUGUCGUAUGUAGGAUAGCUGGGAGGCUUUGAAGCAUUCUCGUCAGGGGAUGUGGAGCCAUUGGUGAAAUACCAGUUUCGGUUUAUUGAAUUUCUAACCACGAACCCUUGAAUCAGGGCGUGGAACAGUGUCUGGGAGUCAGUUUGACUGGGGCGGUUUCCUCCCAAAGAGUAACGGAGGAGCACAAAGGUACCCUCAGCAUGGUCAGCAAUCAUGCGUAGAGCGUAUAGGUAUAAGGGUGCUUGACUGCGAGACCCACAAGUCGAGCAGGUGCGAAAGCAGGUCUAAGUGAUCCGGUGGUAGCUAGUGGUAGCGCCAUCGCUUAACGGAUAAAAGGUACUCCGGGGAUAACAGGCUGAUGAUUGCCAAGAGUCCACAUCGACGCAAUCGUUUGGCACCUCGAUGUCGGCUCAUCGCAUCCUGGGGCUGGAGAAGGUCCCAAGGGUUGGGCUGUUCGCCCAUUAAAGCGGUACGCGAGCUGGGUUCAGAACGUCGUGAGACAGUUUGGUCCUUAUCCGCCGUGGGCGCAGGAAAUUUGAAGAGAUUAAUCCUUAGUACGAGAGGACCAGGAUUAACGUGCCUCUGGUGUUCCAGUUGUUCUGCCAAGAGCAUCGCUGGGUAGCUACGCACGGGAAGGAUAAGCGCUGAAUGCAUCUAAGUGCCAAGCCCCCUCUGAGAUAAGAUUUCCCUAUGGCCUUGUGCCAUCUAAAGGCUCGUUCUAGACUAGGACGUUGAUAGGCUGGGCGUGGAAGUACAGUGAUGUAUGGAGCUAACCAGUACUAAUUAGCCGUGAGGCUUGAUCUU